Molecule: ribosomal RNA, 460 nt
Filed under: uncultured bacterium
Lineage: Bacteria
Description: partial 16S ribosomal RNA
Rfam family: Bacterial small subunit ribosomal RNA
Source: RNAcentral
CCUACGGGAGACAGCAGUGAGGAAUAUUGGUCAAUGGACGAGAGUCUGAUCCAGCCAAGUAGCGUGAAGGAUGACUGCCCUAUGGGUUGUAAACUUCUUUUAUAUGGGAAUAAAAUGUUCCACGUGUGGGAUUUUGUAUGUACCAUAUGAAUAAGGAUCGGCUAACUCCGUGCCAGCAGCCGCGGUAAUACGGAGGAUCCGAGCGUUAUCCGGAUUUAUUGGGUUUACAGGGAGCGUAGGUGGAUUGUUAAGUCAGUUGUGAAAGUUUGCGGCUCAACCGUAAAAUUGCAGUUGAAACUGGCAGUCUUGAGUACAGUAGAGGUGGGCGGAAUUCGUGGUGUAGCGGUGAAAUGCUUAGAUAUCACGAAGAACUCCGAUUGCGAAGGCAGCUCACUGGACUGCAACUGACACUGAGGCUCGAAAGUGUGGGUAUCAAACAGGAUUAGAUACCCCAGUAGUC